AUUCAAUUAGUAUAUGAAGUAUAUUAAGCUUCCAACUUAGGGGAUAAGAAAAUUAAUUGAAUA
RNAcentral lists this transfer RNA (63 nucleotides) under Nesophrosyne sp. 281 GMB-2012. RNAcentral's name for it is "tRNA-Gly". The record is from RNAcentral. Lineage: Eukaryota; Metazoa; Arthropoda; Insecta; Hemiptera; Cicadellidae.